AAUUACACCUUGUAAAAUAUGGCUGAUGAGGUGCAGCUGAAUAUUCAGGAAAGGCAGGUUGAGGUUUAAUGGACUCCAAACAUACAUAUAGGAUGAGAGAGAAAGAUAACAAAAAUUUGGGAGACACUUGGGGCUAGAAAAAAUGCAAGCAGUCCUUACGAUAAUUGAGUCAGAACGUUUACUGAAUAACUGAGGAGUUACUGAGCAGUGAUAGACAGUAUGGUAAAUCAUUUGAAUAAACUUACCCAAACCCAAGGGAGCCACAUAUUCAUAUUACUGUAGUUAUUUGGAUGCUAAAAUGUCCUAACCUAUGCAUAUUAGAAUUUCUCUCACUACUGUCUUCCUACUGUAAAAAAGUAAUAAUAAUAAUUCCCCUUUCUGCAGGAAGGAAAGCUAAGAUUUCUGCAGGAAGGAAAGCUAAGAUACUCUCUUUUGCCCAAACCUGCCUGAUGAAUCUGUAUAAGGAAAUUCUAAAAGGAAACCCAUCAAAUGAACCAGUGUUCAGGUUUAUAAAAAGCAAAUAGAGACCAUCACAGAAAACAAAGCUGGAGACAAGAGCAAAGGCAGACACAAUGCAGAGAUAACCCGGUCUUGUGGAGUCUAGCCCCAGUGGAUAUAUCUGCAGUGCAGCUGUUCAGCCACCCAAAGCCAGCCAAAUCCAAACCAGCCGGGUCCAGCCCAGUCAGUACACCAGAAGAGAUGGAUGAAUAAACAAGG
Peromyscus maniculatus bairdii (prairie deer mouse) is the source of this 717-nucleotide non-coding RNA. The record is from RefSeq and is a predicted model, not a curated record. Lineage: Eukaryota; Metazoa; Chordata; Mammalia; Rodentia; Cricetidae.